CCGGUCACGCCAUCGUCGCUGCCUUCUUCGUCAAGCCCCCAGGCUCCGCUCUUGCCAGAGGGACAGGAGCCAUGGCUCAGAAAAUGGACUGUGGUGCGGGCCUCCUCGGCUUCCAGGCUGAGGCCUCUGUAGAAGACAGCGCCUUGCUUAUGCAGACCUUGAUGGAGGCCAUCCAGAUCUCAGAGGCUCCACCUACUAACCAGGCCACUGCAGCUGCUAGUCCCCAGAGUUCACAGCCCCCAACUGCCAAUGAGAUGGCUGACAUUCAGGUUUCAGCAGCUGCCGCUAGGCCUAAGUCAGCCUUUAAAGUCCAGAAUGCCACCACAAAAGGCCCAAAUGGUGUCUAUGAUUUCUCUCAGGCUCAUAAUGCCAAGGACGUGCCCAACACGCAGCCCAAGGCAGCCCUUAAGUCCCAAAAUGCCACCCCAAAGGGUCCAAAUGCUGCCUAUGAUUUUUCCCAGGCAGCAACCACUGGUGAGUUAGCUGCUAACAAGUCUGAGAUGGCCUUUAAGGCCCAGAAUGCCACUACUAAAGUGGGCCCAAAUGCCACCUACAAUUUCUCUCAGUCUCUCAAUGCCAAUGACCUGGCCAACAGCAGGCCUAAGACCCCCUUCAAGGCUUGGAAUGAUACCACUAAGUCCCCAACAGCUGAUACCCAGACCCAGAAUGUAAAUCAGGCCAAAAUGGCCACUUCCCAGGCUGACAUAGAGACCGACCCAGGUAUCUCUGAAUCUGACGGUGCAACUGCACAGACAUCAGCAGAUGGUUCCCAGGCUCAGAAUCUGGAGUCCCGGACAAUAAUUCCAUCAAGGCGCUCAGAAAUGCUGAGAGCAUAUCAUCCGAGAACAGCCAGUGGGGGAUCAGGAGGCGGCGCCCCACUGGCUGCAGGGACCCGCGGAGGUCUGCACCAGUUCCAGUGACCCUCAGAACCCACCUGGCCGCACCCCAACGUUGCCCUCUGGCAGCAUCCGUUGGCUUGGCAGAACGCCCUCAGGCUGGCAAAACCAGACAGCCAGGCGACACCGCACCAGCACGUCGCAGAGCCCUCCAGCUAGGCAGCGCCCACCAGCGCUGGCAAACCCAGUUUGCUUGGCAGAAACCAGUGAUCUGGGGCCAACCAGAUCUGGCAGUACCCAGUGAUCUGGCCAAACCCUUGUGCUGCCUGGCCCGUUGCGUCUGGGGCCCGCAAUCCACUUGGGCCUGGCGGAUCAACCUGGGAUGGCCAGGACCCACUUGGGAUGGCCAGACCCCCCAGGGCUGGGCAGACGGGUUUCCUCCAGACUGGGCCAAGGGCUCCUCGCUGA
Cercocebus atys (sooty mangabey) is the source of this 1304-nucleotide RNA transcript. It is a transcript of the gene named melanoma-associated antigen D1 pseudogene, with no coding region annotated. The record is from RefSeq and is a predicted model, not a curated record. Lineage: Eukaryota; Metazoa; Chordata; Mammalia; Primates; Cercopithecidae. The transcript has 2 exons.